AUUGAACGCUGGCGGCAGGCCUAACACAUGCCAGUCGAGCGGAUGAAGGGAGCUUGCUCCUGGAUUCAGCGGCGGACGGGUGAGUAAUGCCUAGGAAUCUGCCUGGUAGUGGGGGAUAACGUCCGGAAACGGGCGCUAAUACCGCAUACGUCCUGAGGGAGAAAGUGGGGGAUCUUCGGACCUCACGCUAUCAGAUGAGCCUAGGUCGGAUUAGCUAGUUGGUGGGGUAAAGGCCUACCAAGGCGACGAUCCGUAACUGGUCUGAGAGGAUGAUCAGUCACACUGGAACUGAGACACGGUCCAGACUCCUACGGGAGGCAGCAGUGGGGAAUAUUGGACAAUGGGCGAAAGCCUGAUCCAGCCAUGCCGCGUGUGUGAAGAAGGUCUUCGGAUUGUAAAGCACUUUAGGUUGGGAGGAAGAGCAGUAAGUUAAUACCUUGCUGUUUUGACGUUACCAACAGAAUAAGCACCGGCUAACUUCGUG
RNAcentral lists this ribosomal RNA (484 nucleotides) under uncultured bacterium. Its description in RNAcentral is "partial 16S ribosomal RNA". It matches the Rfam family "Bacterial small subunit ribosomal RNA", at positions 30 to 507 of the family's 1533-position model. The record is from RNAcentral.